RNAcentral lists this ribosomal RNA (404 nucleotides) under Actinomycetes bacterium. RNAcentral describes it as "Actinobacteria bacterium partial 16S ribosomal RNA". It matches the Rfam family "Bacterial small subunit ribosomal RNA", at positions 355 to 776 of the family's 1533-position model. Lineage: Bacteria; Bacillati; Actinomycetota; Actinomycetes. The record is from RNAcentral.
UGGGGAAUAUUGGACAAUGGGCGCAAGCCUGAUCCAGCCAUGCCGCGUGAGUGAUGAAGGUCCUAGGGUUGUAAAGCUCUUUCACCGGUGAAGAUAAUGACGGUAACCGGAGAAGAAGCCCCGGCUAACUUCGUGCCAGCAGCCGCGGUAAUACGAAGGGGGCUAGCGUUGUUCGGAUUUACUGGGCGUAAAGCGCACGUAGGCGGACUAUUAAGUCAGGGGUGAAAUCCCGGGGCUCAACCCCGGAACUGCCUUUGAUACUGGUAGUCUUGGGUUCGAGAGAGGUGAGUGGAAUUCGGAGUGUAGAGGUGAAAUUCGUAGAUGUUCGGAGGAACACCAGUGGCGAAGGCGGCUCACUGGCUCGAUACUGACGCUGAGGUGCGAAAGCGUGGGGAGCAAACAGG